AGUCCGGAAGGUGACCGGACCCUUCGGGGAGCCAUUACAGGUGUUGCAUGGCUGUCGUCAGCUCGUGUCGUGAGAUGUUCGGUUAAGUCCGCUAACGAGCGCAACCCUCGCUGUGUGUUAUAUGUGUCACACAGGACUGCUGGUAUUAAGCCGGAGGAAGGUGGGGACGACGUCAAGUCAGCAUGACCUUUAUAUCCAGGGCUACACACACGCUACAAUGGUCAGUACAAUGGGUUGCCAAGCCGCGAGGCGGAGCCAAUCCUAAAAAGCUGGCCUCAGUUCAGAUUGCAGUCUGAAACUCGACUGCAUGAAGUCGGAGUUGCUAGUAACCGCAGGUCAGCUAUACUGCGGUGAAUACGUUCCCGGGUCUU
Molecule: ribosomal RNA, 371 nt
Filed under: uncultured Anaerolineaceae bacterium
Lineage: Bacteria; Bacillati; Chloroflexota; Anaerolineae; Anaerolineales; Anaerolineaceae
Description: bacterial SSU rRNA
Rfam family: Bacterial small subunit ribosomal RNA
Source: RNAcentral